ACUUCGGUCCUAGCGGCGAACGGGUGAGGAAUGCUUGGGAAUCUGCCCAGUAGCGGGGGAUAACGUUUCGAAAGGAACGCUAAUACCGCAUACGCCCUACGGGGGAAAGGGGGGGAUCUUCGGACCUCUCACUAUUGGAUGAGCCCAAGUCGGAUUAGCUAGUUGGUGAGGUAAAGGCUCACCAAGGCGACGAUCCGUAGCUGGUCUGAGAGGAUGAUCAGCCACACUGGAACUGAGACACGGUCCAGACUCCUACGGGAGGCAGCAGUGGGGAAUAUUGGACAAUGGGCGAAAGCCUGAUCCAGCCAUGCCGCGUGUGUGAAGAAGGCCUUCGGGUUGUAAAGCACUUUAAGCGAGGAGGAAGGGCUCUAGGUUAAUACCUUGGAGCAUUGACGUUACUCGCAGAAUAAGCACCGGCUAACUCUGUGCCAGCAGCCGCGGUAAUACAGAGGGUGCAAGCGUUAAUCGGAAUUACUGGGCGUAAAGCGCGCGUAGGCGGUUACGUAAGUUGGGUGUGAAAUCCCCGGGCUCAACCUGGGAAUUGCACUCAAAACUGCGUGGCUAGAGUGUGGGAGAGGAAGGUAGAAUUCCAGGUGUAGCGGUGAAAUGCGUAGAUAUCUGGAGGAAUACCGAUGGCGAAGGCAGCCUUCUGGCCUAACACUGACGCUGAGGUGCGAAAGCAUGGGGAGCAAACAGGAUUAGAUACCCUGGUAGUCCAUGCCGUAAACGAUGUCUACUAGCCGUUGGGGGGACUUGAUCCUUUAGUGGCGCAGCUAACGCAUUAAGUAGACCGCCUGGGGAGUACGGUCGCAAGACUAAAACUCAAAUGAAUUGACGGGGGCCCGCACAAGCGGUGGAGCAUGUGGUUUAUUCGAUGCAACGCGAAGAACCUUACCUGUCUUGACAUGUC
This 910-nucleotide ribosomal RNA is filed under the name uncultured bacterium. RNAcentral's name for it is "bacterial SSU rRNA". It matches the Rfam family "Bacterial small subunit ribosomal RNA", at positions 83 to 990 of the family's 1533-position model. The record is from RNAcentral.